This 253-nucleotide ribosomal RNA is filed under the name uncultured bacterium. Its description in RNAcentral is "partial 16S ribosomal RNA". It matches the Rfam family "Bacterial small subunit ribosomal RNA", at positions 524 to 776 of the family's 1533-position model. The record is from RNAcentral.
UACAGAGGUGGCAAGCGUUGUUCGGAAUUACUGGGCGUAAAGGGCGCGUAGGCGGCCUACUAAGUCAGACGUGAAAUCCCCAGGCUUAACUUGGGAACUGCGUCUGAUACUGGGAGGCUUGAGUGCGGGAGAGGGAUGUGGAAUUCCAGGUGUAGCGGUGAAAUGCGUAGAUAUCUGGAGGAACACCGGUGGCGAAGGCGGCAUCCUGGACCGACACUGACGCUGAGGCGCGAAAGCUAGGGGAGCAAACGGG